CGCNAAGAACCUUACCAGGUCUUGACAUCCUUUGACCACUCUAGAGAUAGAGCUUCCCCUUCGGGGGCAAAGUGACAGGUGGUGCAUGGUUGUCGUCAGCUCGUGUCGUGAGAUGUUGGGUUAAGUCCCGCAACGAGCGCAACCCUUAUUGUUAGUUGCCAUCAUUCAGUUGGGCACUCUAGCAAGACUGCCGGUGACAAACCGGAGGAAGGUGGGGAUGACGUCAAAUCAUCAUGCCCCUUAUGACCUGGGCUACACACGUGCUACAAUGGGAAGUACAACGAGCUGCGAAGUCGCGAGGCUAAGCUAAUCUCUUAAAGCUUCUCUCAGUUCGGAUUGCAGGCUGCAACUCGCCUGCAUGAAGCCGGAAUCGCUAGUAAUCGCGGAUCAGCACGCCACGGUGAAUACGUUCCCGGGUCUUGUACACACC
Molecule: ribosomal RNA, 430 nt
Filed under: uncultured bacterium
Lineage: Bacteria
Description: bacterial SSU rRNA
Rfam family: Bacterial small subunit ribosomal RNA
Source: RNAcentral